This 77-nucleotide transfer RNA is filed under the name Kyrpidia tusciae. Its description in RNAcentral is "tRNA-Asp". It matches the Rfam family "tRNA". From Rfam's summary of the family: Transfer RNA (tRNA) molecules are approximately 80 nucleotides in length. Lineage: Bacteria; Bacillati; Bacillota; Bacilli; Caryophanales; Alicyclobacillaceae. The record is from RNAcentral. RNAcentral also lists the same sequence under 3 other names.
GGAGCUGUAGUGUAGAGGCCCAACACGCCUGCCUGUCACGCAGGAGAUCGCGGGUUCGAAUCCCGUCAGCUCCGCCA